UACGUAGGGUGCGAGCGUUAAUCGGAAUUACUGGGCGUAAAGCGUGCGCAGGCGGUUUUGUAAGCCAGAUGUGAAAUCCCCGGGCUUAACCUGGGAAUGGCAUUUGGGACUGCAAGGCUGGAGUUUGGCAGAGGAGACUGGAAUUCCUGGUGUAGCAGUGAAAUGCGUAGAUAUCAGGAGGAAUACCGAUGGCGAAGGCAGGUCUCUGGGCUAUAACUGACGCUCAUGCACGAAAGCGUGGAGAGCAAACAGG
This 253-nucleotide ribosomal RNA is filed under the name uncultured bacterium. RNAcentral's name for it is "partial 16S ribosomal RNA". It matches the Rfam family "Bacterial small subunit ribosomal RNA", at positions 524 to 776 of the family's 1533-position model. The record is from RNAcentral.